Small nuclear RNA from Cynocephalus volans (Philippine flying lemur), 107 nucleotides. Lineage: Eukaryota; Metazoa; Chordata; Mammalia; Dermoptera; Cynocephalidae. The record is from RefSeq and is a predicted model, not a curated record.
GUGCUUGCUUUGGCCGCACUUAUACUAAAAUUGGAAUGAUACAGAGAAGAAUAGCAUGGCCCCUGUGCAAGGAUGACAUGCAAAUUCAUUAAGUGUUCCAUAUUUUU